Molecule: ribosomal RNA, 380 nt
Filed under: uncultured bacterium
Lineage: Bacteria
Description: bacterial SSU rRNA
Rfam family: Bacterial small subunit ribosomal RNA
Source: RNAcentral
CUCGGGAAAGCCUUCUUCGGGGGGUAAGUACAGCGGCGCACGGGUGAGUAACACGUAGGUAACCUACCCCAAAGACUGGGAUAACCUGUCGAAAGGCGGGCUAAUACCAGAUAAGACCACGGUGGCUCCGGCUGCUGGGGUAAAAGAUGGCCUCUGCUUGCAAGCCAUUACUUAGGGAUGGGCCUGCGCGCCAUUAGCUAGUUGGCGGGGUAAUGGCCCACCAAGGCGAAGAUGGCUAGCUGGUCUGAGAGGAUGGCCAGCCACACUGGGACUGAGACACGGCCCAGACUCCUACGGGAGGCAGCAGUGGGGAAUUUUGGACAAUGGGCGAAAGCCUGAUCCAGCCAUUCCGCGUGAGUGAAGAAGGCUUUCCAGAGGGG